This 497-nucleotide ribosomal RNA is filed under the name uncultured bacterium. RNAcentral's name for it is "partial 16S ribosomal RNA". It matches the Rfam family "Bacterial small subunit ribosomal RNA", at positions 28 to 507 of the family's 1533-position model. The record is from RNAcentral.
GAUGAACGCUGGCGGCGUGCCUAAUACAUGCAAGUCGAGCGAACGGACGAGAAGCUUGCUUCUCUGAUGUUAGCGGCGGACGGGUGAGUAACACGUGGAUAACCUACCUAUAAGACUGGGAUAACUUCGGGAAACCGUAGCUAAUACCGGUUAAUAUUUUGAACCGCAUGGUUCAAAAGUGAAAGACGGUCUUGCUGUCACUUAUAGAUGGAUCCGCGCUGCAUUAGCUAGUUGGUAAGGUAACGGCUUACCAAGGCAACGAUGCAUAGCCGACCUGAGAGGGUGAUCGGCCACACUGGAACUGAGACACGGUCCAGACUCCUACGGGAGGCGGCAGUAGGGAAUCUUCCGCAAUGGGCGAAAGCCUGACGGAGCAACGCCGCGUGAGUGAUGAAGGUCUUCGGAUCGUAAAACUCUGUUAUUAGGGAAGAACAUAUGUGUAAGUAACUGUGCACAUCUUGACGGUACCUAAUCAGAAAGCCACGGCUAACUACGUG